Molecule: ribosomal RNA, 549 nt
Filed under: uncultured bacterium
Lineage: Bacteria
Description: bacterial SSU rRNA
Rfam family: Bacterial small subunit ribosomal RNA
Source: RNAcentral
UGGGGAAUCUUCCGCAAUGGACGAAAGUCUGACGGAGCAACGCCGCGUGAGUGAUGACGGCCUUCGGGUUGUAAAGCUCUGUUAAUCGGGACGAAUGGUUCUUGUGCGAAUAGUGCGAGGAUUUGACGGUACCGGAAUAGAAAGCCACGGCUAACUACGUGCCAGCAGCCGCGGUAAUACGUAGGUGGCAAGCGUUGUCCGGAAUUAUUGGGCGUAAAGCGCGCGCAGGCGGAUUGGUCAGUCUGUCUUAAAAGUUCGGGGCUUAACCCCGUGAUGGGAUGGAAACUGCCAAUCUAGAGUAUCGGAGAGGAAAGUGGAAUUCCUAGUGUAGCGGUGAAAUGCGUAGAUAUUAGGAAGAACACCAGUGGCGAAGGCGACUUUCUGGACGAAAACUGACGCUGAGGCGCGAAAGCCAGGGGAGCGAACGGGAUUAGAUACCCCGGUAGUCCUGGCCGUAAACGAUGGGUACUAGGUGUAGGAGGUAUCGACCCCUUCUGUGCCGGAGUUAACGCAAUAAGUACCCCGCCUGGGGAGUACGACCGCAAGGUU